Molecule: ribosomal RNA, 680 nt
Filed under: uncultured Lachnospiraceae bacterium
Lineage: Bacteria; Bacillati; Bacillota; Clostridia; Lachnospirales; Lachnospiraceae
Description: bacterial SSU rRNA
Rfam family: Bacterial small subunit ribosomal RNA
Source: RNAcentral
ACACAUGCAAGUCGAACGGAGCUGUUUUCUCUGAAGUUUUCGGAUGGAAGAGAGUUCAGCUUAGUGGCGAACGGGUGAGUAACACGUGAGCAACCUGCCUUUCAGUGGGGGACAACAUUUGGAAACGAAUGCUAAUACCGCAUAAGACCACAGUGUCGCAUGGCACAGGGGUCAAAGGAUUUAUCCGCUGAAAGAUGGGCUCGCGUCCGAUUAGCUAGAUGGUGAGGUAACGGCCCACCAUGGCAACGAUCGGUAGCCGGACUGAGAGGUUGAACGGCCACAUUGGGACUGAGACACGGCCCAGACUCCUACGGGAGGCAGCAGUGGGGAAUAUUGCACAAUGGGGGAAACCCUGAUGCAGCGACGCCGCGUGGAGGAAGAAGGUCUUCGGAUUGUAAACUCCUGUCCCAGGGGACGAUAAUGACGGUACCCUGGGAGGAAGCACCGGCUAACUACGUGCCAGCAGCCGCGGUAAAACGUAGGGUGCAAGCGUUGUCCGGAAUUACUGGGUGUAAAGGGAGCGCAGGCGGAUUGGCAAGUUGGGAGUGAAAUCUAUGGGCUCAACCCAUAAAUUGCUUUCAAAACUGUCAGUCUUGAGUGGUGUAGAGGUAGGCGGAAUUCCCGGUGUAGCGGUGGAAUGCGUAGAUAUCGGGAGGAACACCAGUGGCGAAGGCGGCCUA